Poecile atricapillus (Black-capped chickadee) is the source of this 1583-nucleotide long non-coding RNA. RefSeq lists it as uncharacterized. NCBI's taxonomy places the organism in Eukaryota, Metazoa, Chordata, Aves, Passeriformes, Paridae. The transcript is spliced from 8 exons. The record is from RefSeq and is a predicted model, not a curated record.
CCUCAGCCUCCGUCCCCAGCCCUCAGCCUCCGUCCCCAGCCCUCAGCCUCCCUCCUCCGCCCCGCUUCCCUCACCGGGAGCCCCGGCCCCGCCAAAGCUCAGCCCCGGCCGUGCGGAAGUCUUCUUUGGAGGCAGCUCUGCUGUAAGUGCCUCGCCAAGUCGGAGAUGUGGAUUUGUUGGCCAGAAGAGAUGAAGAAGGAAAUAUUCUUUCUUUGGUAGUGAACCCAUCCUGUGAUCCGGUGGAGUUUGAGGCCAGAAGAUGGAACUCCCUGGCUGCCACCCACCUGCAGCAGCAGCUACAGCUGGGAUCAGCUGUUCUAUAAAUGUGUAUUAUACUGGAAAUUGAACACUGACAGCGUAGGAGAGGCAUGUGAAGAGGAGGAGGAGGAAGAAUUGUUCCAGCAGUGGUGGAUGUGUGUUUGGAUGGUGCAGGUGCCCACUUCAUUCACUGCAUCCCUUCAGCACCAAGAGUUCAACCCAGUGCUGGCUAAUUCCAGGACCUGAAACUGUAUCUACAUGCAAAUCUCAUCCUUUGGAAUCAACUUUCCUUUGGGUCCUGAAGCACUGUGGAAAUGGCAGUGGAUAUUACAUGGGAUGGCCCUCACAUGCUCAGCUCCAUUAGCUUGGACAAUUCAAGGGGAUCUCAGCUGGGUUUCCUGGCCACAGGUUACACAGGUGACAAGAUUGAAACAGACAGAAAAGAAAAAUUUUUCCAAUGUCUCCUGGAAGGCAAAUGGUGCUGCUGGAGGAAAAAACAAUCGGUUCAGAAGUCUGGGCCAGUUCUCUGUUCAAGUUUCUACUGCCUUCUUCUUUGUUUCCAGCUGUUCUAUUUCCCAAGAAAACAAACAUCUCCACUACAACUUCCAAAUAGAAUGUGUGCUGUAUAUUAUCCUGAGACCUGUUCUCUACAGAAAAUUUGGUUUUUAACAUUCUGGUGCAAUAAACGGCAAUAAAACAGGGAAGCAGCACAGUCUCCUGAGAUCUGGUUUCCAGACAAAGGGAGUUCAGACAGAAAUUGGAGCUUCUGGUUGCGUUUUGAACUCUGCCUGCCCCCGGUGUUCUCUCCCCUUGAAUUGGCAACAGGAAUUGCAUCUCACUCAUCUGGCUGAACAGUGGCUGCAGUUGCCUUUGACUCGUGUGACUUUAAACAGGACAUUUCUAGAAGACUUGAACAAAUAAACUGGACUCUAUGAAACCAUCAGAUUUAACUGUCCCUGUGGUACACACUCCUGAAAACUUGCUAAUUCAUUACGUAACAAAGCAAUUCUCAUGCUGACUGAAAAAAAGAAAAAGCUAGAAUUAUUUUCAAUGACAUAUUCUUUAUUUUUAUUCGUUAUUAUUUAAAAAGUUAUAUAUUUCAUAUUAAGAGCUACUCAUCCUAUGGUAAAAUGUCUUUCAUCUCCUGUAUAAACUUUCUAAAAAUUUGAAGUUCUAUUCAAAGAUUUGGGAGUCCUAAGAGCAGCCUCUGCUGAUGCAUAAGGAAAUUGUUUCUCAAUUUUUCCAGUGGAUGCAAGAGUUUUUUUGCAUAUCCACAAGAAGUUUGUAAGAACUGUUCGGUGUUUGUAUGUCACUUGGAAAAUAUA